CAUGCCCCUUAUACGCUGGGCUACACACGUGCUACAAUGGGUAGUACAGAGAGUCGCAAAGCCGCGAGGUGGAGCUAAUCUCAGAAAACUAUUCUUAGUUCGGAUUGUACUCUGCAACUCGAGUACAUGAAGUUGGAAUCGCUAGUAAUCGCGAAUCAGCAAUGUCGCGGUGAAUACGUUCUCGGGUCUUGUACACACCGCCCGUCACACCACGAGAGUUGGUUGCACCUGAAGUAGCAGGCCUAACCGUAAGGAGGGAUGCUCCGAGGGUGUGAUUAGCGAUUGGGGUGAAGUCGUAACAAGGUAUCCGUACGGGAACGUGCGGAUGGAUCACCUCCUUUCUAAGGAGAAAAUGUCUUUCUCUAUUCUAUUGGUAAUGUUCUUUACAUUACUUCUGAACAUUGGAAACUAUAUAGUAGAACAAACAAGAAAACAAAAUUAACUCUAACAAUUUCUUAGAGUUAGCUGUCAAAAAAAAUAGAUUAAAAUAAUUAAGGGCACACAAAGGAUGCCUUGGUAGUAAGAGCCGAUGAAGGACGUGGUAAGCUGCGAUAAGCCUAG
RNAcentral lists this small RNA (561 nucleotides) under uncultured Fusobacterium sp. RNAcentral describes it as "bacterial SSU rRNA". The stretch from base 1 to 341 matches the Rfam family "Bacterial small subunit ribosomal RNA", at positions 1194 to 1533 of the family's 1533-position model. The record is from RNAcentral. Lineage: Bacteria; Fusobacteriati; Fusobacteriota; Fusobacteriia; Fusobacteriales; Fusobacteriaceae.